UCAGAAUUACUGUCUAGACAAGUCUCUGC
Molecule: small RNA, 29 nt
Filed under: Bombyx mori (domestic silkworm)
Lineage: Eukaryota; Metazoa; Arthropoda; Insecta; Lepidoptera; Bombycidae
Description: ovarian small RNA-6956
Source: RNAcentral